RNAcentral lists this transfer RNA (73 nucleotides) under Iphisa elegans. Its description in RNAcentral is "tRNA-Gln". It matches the Rfam family "tRNA". Rfam says of the family: Transfer RNA (tRNA) molecules are approximately 80 nucleotides in length. The record is from RNAcentral. Lineage: Eukaryota; Metazoa; Chordata; Lepidosauria; Squamata; Gymnophthalmidae.
UAGGAGGUAGUAUAAGGGGAGUACGAAGAGUUUUGGUCUCUUAAGUGCGGGUUCGAGUCCCGUUCUUCUAUUU